Lingula anatina is the source of this 68-nucleotide non-coding RNA. The record is from Rfam. Lineage: Eukaryota; Metazoa; Brachiopoda; Lingulata; Lingulida; Lingulidae.
UGGCUGGUCAAAGUGGUUGUGACAGGGUGUGCUAGCUUUCCUAUCACAGCCUGCUUUGAUGAGCUAUA